AUGAGGUGUGUGCUCUGUAUAUUCCGGAGGUACAAUUUGCCAAUGAUUCCACAAUGGAACCAAUUGUUUUACAGUCUGUUCCACAUGAUCAUUGUAAUAAGGUUGAGACUGAGCUAAAGUUAAUCUGCGGCGAUGUUCUGGAUGCACUGGACAAACACCUCAUUCCAGCAGCUACCACUGGAAAGGGGUCUACCACAGGUAUCUGGCAGAAUUUGCCACAGGAAAUGACAG
RNAcentral lists this long non-coding RNA (231 nucleotides) under Homo sapiens (human). RNAcentral describes it as "HSALNT0389582". Lineage: Eukaryota; Metazoa; Chordata; Mammalia; Primates; Hominidae. The record is from RNAcentral.